GAGGGAAAGGCGAAAAGAACCCCGGCGAGGGGAGUGAAAAAGAACCUGAAACCGUGUACGUACAAGCAGUGGGAGCACGCUUAGGCGUGUGACUGCGUACCUUUUGUAUAAUGGGUCAGCGACUUAUAUUCUGUAGCAAGGUUAACCGAAUAGGGGAGCCGAAGGGAAACCGAGUCUUAACUGGGCGUUAAGUUGCAGGGUAUAGACCCGAAACCCGGUGAUCUAGCCAUGGGCAGGUUGAAGGUUGGGUAACACUAACUGGAGGACCGAACCGACUAAUCUUGAAAAAUUAGCGGAUGACUUGUGGCUGGGGGUGAAAGGCCAAUCAAACCGGGAGAUAGCUGGUUCUCCCCGAAAGCUAUUUAGGUAGCGCCUCGUGAAUUCAUCUCCGGGGGUAGAGCACUGUUUCGGCAAGGGGGUCAUCCCGACUUACCAACCCGAUGCAAACUGCGAAUACCGGAGAAUGUUAUCACGGGAGACACACGGCGGGUGCUAACGUCCGUCGUGAAGAGGGAAACAACCCAGACCGCCAGCUAAGGUCCCAAAGUCAUGGUUAAGUGGGAAACGAUGUGGGAAGGCCCAGACAGCCAGGAUGUUGGCUUAGAAGCAGCCAUCAUUUAAAGAAAGCGUAAUAGCUCACUGGUCGAGUCGGCCUGCGCGGAAGAUGUAACGGGGCUAAACCAUGCACCGAAGCUGCGGCAGCGACGCUUAUGCGUUGUUGGGUAGGGGAGC
This 732-nucleotide ribosomal RNA is filed under the name Enterococcus faecalis. RNAcentral's name for it is "bacterial LSU rRNA". It matches the Rfam family "Bacterial large subunit ribosomal RNA", at positions 505 to 1237 of the family's 2925-position model. Lineage: Bacteria; Bacillati; Bacillota; Bacilli; Lactobacillales; Enterococcaceae. The record is from RNAcentral.